This 390-nucleotide ribosomal RNA is filed under the name uncultured eukaryote. Its description in RNAcentral is "SSU rRNA". It matches the Rfam family "Eukaryotic small subunit ribosomal RNA", at positions 587 to 969 of the family's 1831-position model. The record is from RNAcentral.
AGCUCCAAUAGCGUAUAUUAAAGUUGCUGCAGUUAAAAAGCUCGUAGUUGGAUUUGUGGCGCGGCCGUCGGGCGGGGCUCCUUCAUUGGGGCCGUUUGUCUGGUUCUUGGCCGCUCCAUUCUCGGGUAGCGUGUCUCUGGCAUUAGGUUGUCGGAUUCUUCGCGCCCGUCGUUUACUGUGAAAAAAUUAGAGUGUUCAAAGCAGGCUUAGGCCGUUGGAUACAUUAGCAUGGAAUAAUGAGAUAGGGCCACGAUGGUCUAUUUUGUUGGGUUGCACAUUGUGGUAAUGAUUAACAGGAACGGUUGGGGGUAUUCGUAUUCAAUUGUCAGAGGGGAAAUUCUUGGAUUUAUGGAAGACGAACUACUGCGAAAGCAUUUACCAAGGAGGUUU